AGAGUUUGAUCAUGGCUCAGAACGAACGCUGGCGGCAGGCUUAACACAUGCAAGUCGAGCGCCCAGCAAUGGGAGCGGCGGACGGGUGAGUAACACGUGGGAACAUGCCUUUCGGUACGGAAACAACUGCGGGAAACUGCAGCUAAUGCCGUAUGCGCCCCUUACGGGGAAAGAUUUAUCGCCGAAAAUUGGCCCGCGUCUGAUUAGCUAGUUGGUGAGGUAACGGCUCACCAAGGCUUCGAUCAGUAGCUGGUUUGAGAGAACGACCAGCCACACUGGGACUGAGACACGGCCCAGACUCCUACGGGAGGCAGCAGUGGGGAAUCUUGGACAAUGGGGGAAACCCUGAUCCAGCCAUGCCGCGUGAGUGAUGAAGGCCUUCGGGUUGUAAAACUCUUUUACCAGGGAAGAUAAUGACUGUACCUGGAGAAUAAGCCCCGGCUAACUUCGUGCCAGCAGCCGCGGUAAUACGAAGGGGGCUAGCGUUGUUCGGAAUUACUGGGCGUAAAGCGUGCGCAGGCGGUUCUUCAAGUCAGGGGUGAAAGCCCAGAGCUCAACUCUGGAAUUGCCUUUGAAACUGUAGAACUUGAGUACGAGAGAGGUGAGUGGAAUUCCCAGUGUAGAGGUGAAAUUCGUAGAUAUUGGGAAGAACACCGGUGGCGAAGGCGGCUCACUGGCUCGUAACUGACGCUCAUGCACGACAGCGUGGGGAUCAAACAGGAUUAGAUACCCUAGUAGUCC
Molecule: ribosomal RNA, 741 nt
Filed under: uncultured bacterium
Lineage: Bacteria
Description: bacterial SSU rRNA
Rfam family: Bacterial small subunit ribosomal RNA
Source: RNAcentral